This 62-nucleotide transfer RNA is filed under the name Ischnocnema cf. penaxavantinho CC-2012. Its description in RNAcentral is "tRNA-Val". Lineage: Eukaryota; Metazoa; Chordata; Amphibia; Anura; Brachycephalidae. The record is from RNAcentral.
UAGCUUAACCAAAGCCUUUCGCCUACACCGAAAAGAAGUCUGUUAACCCCAAACUACUUCGA